CCCCUCCCCACGGGCUCCUCAGGAAAUGACGUCCCGCCCGGUGCGCCUGGCCGUUGCCUGGAGACGGGGUGAAACAGUCCAGCCCCAGGGAAGAAAGGGGUGAACGCGGCGGUAGGGGUGGGAGGAGCCCCCGCGUCCCCUACCCCGCCGGCAGAGCCGGGAGCGGGGCUCAGAAACAGCGCUCUUCGGCGGUCGCAGCGAGUGCCGACACCAGGAUCGCUUUGGAGUAAUUAGCCGGCUAGCUAAUUCACAAUUCGGGGGGAAAUCGUCAAGUUUUUUGUUUGUUUGAUUUUUGCUUCCAAAAUACUGGGCACUUCAGUCUCGGUUUUCUUCCUUACAAUGUGGCGCUCCCCUCCUGCACGCGCCCUGACAUGACAAAUUCCAGGGUUUAUGUGGACGGUCGUUGGCCACCUACUGUGUGCGAGAGACGAAUACAAGCAUAGACUGCUGUCUGCCGGAGUCAACUCCGUGGCAGGGAUGGAUCAGGCUGGACCCCUUCCCAGUCUCCAUUGCAAGGGAAAAGCCACUUUCAGAAAUAUUAUAUAAAGUGUACACCCCACGCUCGCGCACACACGUACAAAUGAGCGCAUAUAAAACUGGUGAAAUCUGAGUAAGGUGGGUGGAUUUUAUCAAUGUCAAUGUCCUGGUUGCCAUCGUGUCAACAUCGGGGGAAACUGGGUGAAGGGUACAUGGCAUGUCUAUGUAUUAUUUCUUAGAACUGCAUUUGGAUCUACAAUCUCAAAAUAGAAAUUAAAAAUAUACAUAUUUGAAGUGGCUUGGAGAAAAAUCUCUUCUAUGCUCUCCCAUCCCUAGGCAAAAUGGGAAGAUACACCCAGGUGUGCCCUGGAGUCGGUCGUCACCCACCCAAUCCCCCAAAUAAGAUUUAAG
RNAcentral lists this long non-coding RNA (888 nucleotides) under Homo sapiens (human). RNAcentral describes it as "HSALNT0154321". The record is from RNAcentral. Lineage: Eukaryota; Metazoa; Chordata; Mammalia; Primates; Hominidae.